RNAcentral lists this ribosomal RNA (253 nucleotides) under uncultured bacterium. RNAcentral's name for it is "partial 16S ribosomal RNA". It matches the Rfam family "Bacterial small subunit ribosomal RNA", at positions 524 to 776 of the family's 1533-position model. The record is from RNAcentral.
UACAGAGGCCUCGAGCGUUGUUCGGAAUUACUGGGCGUAAAGAGAACGUAGGUGGUGACGUAAGUCAGAUGUGAAAGCCCUGGGCUUAACCUGGGAAGUGCAUUUGAUACUGCGUUGCUAGAGUACGAGAGAGGAAAGCGGAAUUCCCAGUGUAGGAGUGAAAUCCGUAGAUAUUGGGAGGAAUACCGAUGGCGAAGGCAGCUUUCUGGUUCGUAACUGACACUGAGGUUCGAAAGCGUGGGUAGCAAACAGG